GCCCUGCCGUAAACUUAGAUACUUCCCCACAACAAGUAUCCGCCUGGGCACUACGAGCGCCAGCUUAAAACCCAAAGGACUUGGCGGUGCUUCAGACCCCCCUAGAGGAGCCUGUUCUAGAACCGAUAACCCCCGUUCAACCUCACUACUCCUUGCUUUUCCCGCCUAUAUACCGCCGUCGCCAGCUUACCCUGUGAAGGAGUCACAGUAAGCAGGAUGGGCAAUGCCCAGAACGUCAGGUCGAGGUGUAGCGUACGGAGUAGGAAGAAAUGGGCUACAUUAUCUGAAGCAGAUUAAAUAACGAAGAGUUACCUGAAACCGGUGACUUGAAGGUGGAUUUAGCAGUAAGGGGAGAAUAGAGCGCCCCCCUGAAGCCGGCUCUGAAGCGCGCACACACCGCCCGUCACUCUCCCCAACAACAUCUAUACAUGGUAUAUAACACAGCAAAAGCUACAAGGGGAGGCAAGUCGUAACAUGGUAAGUGUACCGGAAGGUGCACUUGGAAUAAC
RNAcentral lists this ribosomal RNA (509 nucleotides) under Stolothrissa tanganicae. RNAcentral's name for it is "partial 12S ribosomal RNA". It matches the Rfam family "Bacterial small subunit ribosomal RNA", at positions 794 to 1527 of the family's 1533-position model. The record is from RNAcentral. Lineage: Eukaryota; Metazoa; Chordata; Actinopteri; Clupeiformes; Clupeidae.